AAACUUCCAACAACGGAUCUCUUGGCUCUCGCAUCGAUGAAGAACGCAGCGAAAUGCGAUAAGUAGUGUGAAUUGCAGAACUUUGUGAACCAUCGAAUCUUUGAACGCAAAUUGCGCCUUCUUUCGGAAGGCAUGUCUGUUUGAGGGCACCAU
Molecule: ribosomal RNA, 153 nt
Filed under: uncultured Paraglomus
Lineage: Eukaryota; Fungi; Glomeromycota; Glomeromycetes; Paraglomerales; Paraglomeraceae
Description: 5.8S ribosomal RNA
Rfam family: 5.8S ribosomal RNA
About the family: 5.8S ribosomal RNA (5.8S rRNA) is a component of the large subunit of the eukaryotic ribosome. It is transcribed by RNA polymerase I as part of the 45S precursor that also contains 18S and 28S rRNA.
Source: RNAcentral